Molecule: ribosomal RNA, 380 nt
Filed under: uncultured eukaryote
Lineage: Eukaryota
Description: partial 18S ribosomal RNA
Rfam family: Eukaryotic small subunit ribosomal RNA
Source: RNAcentral
CAAUAGCGUAUAUUAAAGUUGUUGCAGUUAAAAAGCUCGUAGUUGGAUCUGUGGUGUGCGGUGGGCUCCGGGCACUUGUUGUCUGAGUAGCUCGCCGCUGCCAUCCUUGGGUGGAACCUGUGUGGCAUUAGGUUGUCGUGCAGGGGAUGCCCAUCGUUUACUGUGAAAAAAUUAGAGUGUUCAAAGCAGGCUUAUGCCGUUGAAUAUAUUAGCAUGGAAUAAUGAGAUAGGACUUUUUCGCUAUUUUGUUGGUUUGCGCGAAGAGGUAAUGAUUAAUAGGGACAGUUGGGGGUAGUCGUAUUCCAUUGUCAGAGGUGAAAUUCUUGGAUUUUUGGAAGACGAACUACUGCGAAAGCAUUUACCAAGGAUGUUUUCAUUAA